Molecule: ribosomal RNA, 253 nt
Filed under: uncultured bacterium
Lineage: Bacteria
Description: partial 16S ribosomal RNA
Rfam family: Bacterial small subunit ribosomal RNA
Source: RNAcentral
GACAGAGGGGGCAAGCGUUGCUCGGAAUUACUGGGCGUAAAGGGCGCGUAGGCGGGAUGGCAAGUCGGUCGUGAAAUCCCUCGGCUCAACUGAGGAUCGUCGAUCGAUACUGCCGUUCUUGAGGAUUGCAGAGGAGACUGGAAUUCCCGGUGUAGCGGUGAAAUGCGCAGAUAUCAGGAGGAACACCGGUGGCGAAGGCGGGUCUCUGGGCCGAUACUGACGCUGAGGAGCGAAAGCGUGGGGAGCGAACAGG